This 498-nucleotide ribosomal RNA is filed under the name uncultured bacterium. RNAcentral's name for it is "partial 16S ribosomal RNA". It matches the Rfam family "Bacterial small subunit ribosomal RNA", at positions 30 to 523 of the family's 1533-position model. The record is from RNAcentral.
AUUGAACGCUGGCGGCAUGCCUUACACAUGCAAGUCGAACGGUAACAGGUCUUCGAAUGCUGACGAGUGGCGAACGGGUGAGUAAUACAUCGGAACGUGCCUAGUAGUGGGGGAUAACUACUCGAAAGAGUGGCUAAUACCGCAUGAGAUCUACGGAUGAAAGCAGGGGAUCGCAAGACCUGGUGCUACUACAGCGGCCGGAGGCAGAUUAGGUAGUUGGGGGGAUAAAAGCUUACCAAGCCGACGAUCUGUAGCUGGUCUGAGAGGACGGUAAGCCACACUGGGACUGAGACACGGCCCAGACUCCUACGGGAGGCAGCAGUGGGGAAUUUUGGACAAUGGGCGCAAGCCUGAUCCAGCAAUGCCGCGUGCAGGAUGAAGGCCUUCGGGUUGUAAACUGCUUUUGUACGGAACGAAAAGCCCUGGGUUAAUACCCUGGGGUCAUGACGGUACCGUAAGAAUAAGCACCGGCUAACUACGUGCCAGCCGCCGCGGUAA